RNAcentral lists this ribosomal RNA (747 nucleotides) under Pasteurella bettyae. RNAcentral's name for it is "bacterial SSU rRNA". It matches the Rfam family "Bacterial small subunit ribosomal RNA", at positions 52 to 788 of the family's 1533-position model. The record is from RNAcentral. Lineage: Bacteria; Pseudomonadati; Pseudomonadota; Gammaproteobacteria; Pasteurellales; Pasteurellaceae.
CACAUGCAAGUCGAACGGUAGCACAGGGGAGCUUGCUCCCUGGGUGACGAGUGGCGGACGGGUGAGUAAUGCUUGGGAAUUUGGCUUAUGGAGGGGGAUAACUACGGGAAACUGUAGCUAAUACCGCGUAAUGUCUACGGACUAAAGGGUGGGACUAUUUGGCCACCUGCCAUGAGAUGAGCCCAAGUGGGAUUAGGUAGUUGGUGGGGUAAAGGCCUACCAAGCCGACGAUCUCUAGCUGGUCUGAGAGGAUGACCAGCCACACUGGAACUGAGACACGGUCCAGACUCCUACGGGAGGCAGCAGUGGGGAAUAUUGCACAAUGGGGGGAACCCUGAUGCAGCCAUGCCGCGUGAAUGAAGAAGGCCUUCGGGUUGUAAAGUUCUUUCGGUGAUGAGGAAGGCAGGUAUUUUAAUAGAAUACUUGAUUGACGUUAAUCACAGAAGAAGCACCGGCUAACUCCGUGCCAGCAGCCGCGGUAAUACGGAGGGUGCGAGCGUUAAUCGGAAUAACUGGGCGUAAAGGGCAUGCAGGCGGUUGUUUAAGUGAGAUGUGAAAGCCCCGGGCUUAACCUGGGAAUUGCAUUUCAGACUGGACAGCUAGAGUACUUUAGGGAGGGGUAGAAUUCCACGUGUAGCGGUGAAAUGCGUAGAGAUGUGGAGGAAUACCGAAGGCGAAGGCAGCCCCUUGGGAAUGUACUGACGCUCAUAUGCGAAAGCGUGGGGAGCAAACAGGAUUAGAUACCCU